CAGCCGUAAACUAUGCUCGCUAGGUGUCAGGCAUGGCGCGACCGUGUCUGGUGCCGCAGGGAAGCCGUGAAGCGAGCCACCUGGGAAGUACGGCCGCAAGGCUGAAACUUAAGGAAUUGGCGGGGGAGCACAACAACGGGUGGAGCCUGCGGUUUAAUGGACUCAACGCCGGACAACUCACCGGGGACGACGGCAAUAUGUAGGCCAGGCUGAAGACCUUGCCUGAAUCGCUGAGAGGGGGUGCAUGGCGUAGACGUCU
RNAcentral lists this ribosomal RNA (259 nucleotides) under uncultured archaeon. RNAcentral's name for it is "partial 16S ribosomal RNA". It matches the Rfam family "Archaeal small subunit ribosomal RNA", at positions 748 to 1009 of the family's 1478-position model. The record is from RNAcentral.